RNAcentral lists this ribosomal RNA (701 nucleotides) under uncultured bacterium. RNAcentral describes it as "bacterial SSU rRNA". It matches the Rfam family "Bacterial small subunit ribosomal RNA", at positions 8 to 696 of the family's 1533-position model. The record is from RNAcentral.
AGAGUUUGAUCCUGGCUCAGGACGAACGCUGACGGUGUGCUUUAGGCAUGCAAGUCGAACGAGAAAGCCCUUCGGGGUUAGUAAAGUGGCGAACGGGUGAGUAACACGUGGGCAACCUGCCCCUCGCAGGGGGACAACCGGAGGAAACUCCGGCUAAUACCCCGUAAGCUUGUCGAGUCGCAUGGCUCUUCAAGGAAAGGUAGCUUCGGCCAUCCGGCGAGGGAUGGGCCCGCGUUGCAUUAGCUAGUUGGUGGGGUAACGGCCUACCAAGGCUACGAUGCGUAGCUGGUCUGAGAGGAUGAUCAGCCACACUGGGACUGAGACACGGCCCAGACUCCUACGGGAGGCAGCAGCCAGGAAUCUUGGGCAAUGGGCGAAAGCCUGACCCAGCAACACCGUGUGGGUGAUGAAGGCCUUAGGGUCGUAAAGCCCUGUUGAUAGGGACGAAGGGCGAAUGGUUAAUAGCCCGGAGCUUGACGGUACCUUUCGAGGAAGCCCCGGCUAACUACGUGCCAGCAGCCGCGGUAAUACGUAGGGGGCGAGCGUUGUGCGGAAUUAUUGGGCGUAAAGAGCGUGUAGGCGGUUCGGUAAGUCUGCUGUGAAAUCUUGGGGCUCAGCCCUGAUCGUGCAGCUGAUACUGCCUGGCUAGAGGGUAGUAGAAGCGAGUGGAUUUCCUANUGUACCGGUGAAUUGCCCANAUU